This 440-nucleotide ribosomal RNA is filed under the name uncultured bacterium. RNAcentral's name for it is "bacterial SSU rRNA". It matches the Rfam family "Bacterial small subunit ribosomal RNA", at positions 28 to 451 of the family's 1533-position model. The record is from RNAcentral.
GAUGAACGCUGGCGGCGUGCUUAACACAUGCAAGUCGAACGGGAAUUACUUUAUUGAAACUUCGGUCGAUAUAAUUUAAUUCUAGUGGCGGACGGGUGAGUAACGCGUGGGUAACCUGCCUUAUACAGGGGGAUAACAGUCAGAAAUGGCUGCUAAUACCGCAUAAGCGCACAGAGCUGCAUGGCUCAGUGUGAAAAACUCCGGUGGUAUAAGAUGGACCCGCGUUGGAUUAGCUAGUUGGUGGGGUAACGGCCCACCAAGGCGACGAUCCAUAGCCGGCCUGAGAGGGUGAACGGCCACAUUGGGACUGAGACACGGCCCAGACUCCUACGGGAGGCAGCAGUGGGGAAUAUUGCACAAUGGGGGAAACCCUGAUGCAGCGACGCCGCGUGAAGGAAGAAGUAUCUCGGUAUGUAAACUUCUAUCAGCAGGGAAGAUAG